UAGAAGGACAAUGUGACUUCCCUAUGCACC
Molecule: non-coding RNA, 30 nt
Filed under: Mus musculus (house mouse)
Lineage: Eukaryota; Metazoa; Chordata; Mammalia; Rodentia; Muridae
Source: RNAcentral